UUGUCUAUGAUACGCUAGGAUUCACUGAAACUGAGUAAUACAUUAGAUUAUUGCAAAGCAAGACUCACAAACACGAAACUUGAAGGCAAAGCAAAUUCAUAAAACACGAAACUUGCAAACACUUUAAUUGCACUGCUUCUAAAAAGCAUGUUUCAUUUAUGGGCCGUGGACUACGUACCAAACGGUCCGCCUCAUCUCUCUCUCUCUCCCCGGCCCUCCUCCUAAAUAGGCCGCCCUAUAUAAACCCUUUAUUGUUGUCUGUGAUCUUUGUAGGGUUUUUGAGUAUAACACGGCGACCAUGGAGAAGAGCGAGAGCGGCAACGUCGAGAGUAUGCAGAUCUUCUCGUCCUGUGGAAUCCAAAUCUUUCUCGACCUCCUUCCCGAAAUGCCUGAGGAAAGUUUUGCCGGAACGUUGGCCAGCAAUGGCGUCUUGUUUAGAAUUGCAUGGCAUUUCAUGCACUCUGGAUCCGGUCAAGUGUUCAAUGACAGUCUCUACAACCAGAGAUACUAGUGACCCAGAUAUUUUUUUCAAGGUUAGGGACAUUGUUCAACUUAUGUCAAG
This is a long non-coding RNA of Rosa rugosa (rugosa rose), 562 nucleotides long. RefSeq lists it as uncharacterized. The transcript has 3 exons. The record is from RefSeq and is a predicted model, not a curated record. NCBI's taxonomy places the organism in Eukaryota, Viridiplantae, Streptophyta, Magnoliopsida, Rosales, Rosaceae.